ACCAGUUCCCUCAUCUCAAUUAACGUGUGUUUUGCAGUGCUCAUGGGCCCAAGUCACAGGGUGUAGAAAGGUGCCACCACUGCUAGCCAGAAAAUUUGGGCCAUAUCUGUCUUUGGUAGAAUUUGGGUGCCUAGGGCCAUGUUCAGUCACCUCAUUUGCACCCAUCUCCUUUCCCAGUGACAUCUGUCAACAACUCCCUGCUCUGUGCAUUGCUUACAUCUGCUGAAUCACUCUUCUUCACUUCUCACUGAGUAGGUACAGCAAUUGUAAUGAAUUUAGGCCACCUGUGAAAACAACCUCGAGGUCCAAAGUGAUGACCCAGUCUAGUAUUUGGAACUGUGUGAUAUUGGAGGUACCGAAAAAUCUAUUCAGCUUCUUGUGCUCAGAGUUCCUGAGGUGCUCCAGACUUUUCUCCUACAUGUGCUCAGGAGCAGCCAGGUUUGCUCUAAUAGGCAUAUAAAUUGUUGCAGCUCAGAGGCAGACAAUGAGGCUCUGACAAACUACCUCAGAGAGGCCAGGUUUAUUAGAUGUGCUCAGACAAUGCCUAGUACUGACAGCAUCAAAACAACACUCACUCUUCUGACUCCUGCAUACAUCAGGACAUUUAAAGACCAGACUCCAGUGCCUGUCCAGGCAAAUACCUUUGCCUACUGUUUCCCAGAAGUUAGCCAGAUGUCCACCCAGUGUCUUUCAGAAAUGAAUCAUAUCUAUAAAUGUUCAGUAAACUCACUAUAUUGGCAAUGAAGAGCAAUAUGCUCCUCUGUUGAGCACCCAAAUUGUCCAGUGCCUGUGUGGGGAAUCCUAGGUGCCCAUGUUAGGAUGGAUCAGGUACCUGCAAACUUUAUUAUACUCAAACUUUAUGUCUACAGCAAAGCAGUUGGAACAUGGAUUUUAUCCCGUAUUCAAAUGGUAACAUCUUGUUCAAGUGCUGAAAGUUCUGCAUUCAGUCUUUGAUACAGUCAAUACACAGCUAGGGACAUCUGUGCACAAGCAGGAACAAAAUGGGAUCUGUGAAUCCAUUCAGCCACCAUGCAGGAGUGAAAGAUUAUUCGAACACCAGGGCUUGGAUCCCGACGAUGAGACAGGAACCAGAGUGAAAUCCAGCACGUUCCUCUAGAGGUACAUCAAGAGCAGCAAGAGUACAAGGAGAGCAACACAGUAAACAAAACAAAAAACACUUUAUUUGUACCUAAUAAAGUAAACAGUCAUCAGUGUGAAUGUGUACGGAACCCAGAUCUGGAAGGCCCCAGUGACUGUCUGAUGGAUAUGGCUGCUUGUCUGAGGGCACAUUCCCUGAAGUCAUGUGUGAAGUCGUGGAAACCAGCACGCUUUAGAGGUGUGACCAGGCUUGUACGCAUCCUUGUUCCCUCAUAUGCAUCCAAAUCCAGCACCGAAUAAAUCCCUCAGAACGGACUGAUUCAGUUUAAACCACUGGUUCUCUACAGUAGGCAUAACAAAAACUGGUGUAUGGAGAAGUUACAGUCUGGAGUGGGAUCUGAGUUACACCAUCCAUCUUCAGACAGAUCCACAAGCCGUCCUACGUAGCCCUAUCCAUGGCCCUGAGGGUUCUGGAGAUGGCAUAGCCUCACAGGGUGUGAGACAGCUGGAAGGUGGGAACGAUUUGGAGCAGCUGGUAGCUCUCCAUCGCUGCCUAGACCAUGAAGAAACAACCUCCAGGUACCAUCAUGGUGUGCUGCAGCUAUCAGUCUUGCUCUCCUUACAGUGAGGGCAGUUGGCCAGACUCAUCCCUGCUGUGUGCCAAUUCCCUUUUCUGAGGAAAGAACGUGACGAUACAUGUUUCUUCCCUCCCCUGGCAGUCGCUGUUAUAAAUGUCUACAUUUCGCAAUGAACUCUGAAUUAUCUUCUAAAAUUAUACAUGGCAUCUCCCAUCUGGCACUGAUGUCAGCAUGGCAUAUGUUUACCAUGGGAACCUGAAGAUAACUUCAAACUUCUACAAGAGGAAAAUCAGCUUAUUUCACUUUUAAGGUCAAACCUGCAGCAGUGCGAGUUCUGCAGGUGGCAGCCAGAUGAAACAGCUGCUGAUCUGUCUCCUCUAGGAUUGGAUGCAGCUCCUCAAGCUUCACUGGGACCUGGUCACCUAGGGCAAUCCAAAGAGGAUCCAAAUCUCCCAAGGCUUUCUUUGUAAUCCUUCACUUAGGCCACCUACUGCCUGAAACUCCCUGGGGAGAAAGGAGGCAAGCCCAGACCUUCCUGUGUCUCUUCCAUCUGUCAUUCUUCCUGAACCAGCUGGGAAAUUUGCUAAAAAACUCAAAUAUAUGUUAGUGGUCUGCAAAUUUUUUACCCCAGUUGUCACAAGCCUAAAGCAGGCUGCAAAGAGGACUUUGGUAGUCUUCACAUAGAAACAGCAUCCUUUGAAAUAAAACCAUACAAAACCUCGAGGUAGUAAUUCUGGUAUUUUACAGACAUUAAUUUUUUUAUGGCAACUAGCUAGCAAUAGAAAGUCCUUACAGAGAGUGAUGGUUCUUGGAACAAACUUGUCCCUCGAGUAUUUCGUGAUUGUGUUUGACUUCUGGCACAUUCAAAAGACUUAAAUGAAUGAGGACAAAGCUGUUUUGGAAUUUGCUUUUAACCUAUUUCCUUGAAACAAUAAAUUUGUUCAAGGGCAA
Molecule: long non-coding RNA, 2627 nt
Organism: Columba livia (rock pigeon)
Lineage: Eukaryota; Metazoa; Chordata; Aves; Columbiformes; Columbidae
Exons: 5
Source: RefSeq, a predicted model, not a curated record